GCAAGUCGAACGCGAAAGUUCCUUCGGGAGCGAGUAGAGUGGCGGACGGGUGAGUAACGCGUGGGAAUCUGCCUAGUAGCGGGGGAUAACAAUCGGCAACGGUUGCUAAUACCUCAUACGCCCUACGGGGGAAAGGCUUCGGCCGCUAUUAGAUGAGCCCGCGUCAGAUUAGCUUGUUUGUAGGGUAAUGGCCUACCAAGGCAACGAUCUGUAGCUGGUCUGAGAGGACGAUC
Molecule: ribosomal RNA, 233 nt
Filed under: uncultured bacterium
Lineage: Bacteria
Description: partial 16S ribosomal RNA
Rfam family: Bacterial small subunit ribosomal RNA
Source: RNAcentral